UAGCGGCCCCAGCUGUGUGGCCACCAGUAACUAAGAUCGGCCCGCGACAUUUGUCUGGUGGCUUCGUGUUUUUACUAUGUGCCAGAAUUUCAUUUACAAUGGACAAAACUGAGGCCAGGAGAGGAGGAGACUUGCCCAGUGUCGCUCAAGGUGUAGGGUAUGAUGUAAACUCACUUCUAGGGGAGUGGAGCUGUCGUUUGUCACUGACCCUUUCUUAAUGGGGUCUUGGCCAAAGGGCAGAGCUUCUCUGAACCUGUUUUCUCCUCGCGAUUGUCUGUUGGAAUUUUCUGCACGCUUCCUUCAGCGAGUGUGGUGCUUCCUUCUCCCGGCGGCGGAGGGCGGCCAGCUCUGGACCCCAAGGACACCCGAAUCCCCUGAUAGAUGAUGCGCUGCCCGGACUGGCCCACCCUCUCGUGGCUGACCGCCGCCCAGGCUCGCUAGGUCCCUGCGUAGGAGGCAGCAGGCCCAGAGCUAGAACAAAAAACGAGGGUAAAAGAAGUUUUAUGGCGCAUUGUAUAACCUCAGAGGUGGCUGGAUCCAGCAGUCUGGCGAUAUCACCAGGAAUCUCUCAGCUUUUUCCUGUGUCACCCCCAUUCUCUGGCAAACUCUUUCUGGGCAGCGUCACCCGCAAGCUCUGGGUUCAUAUUCCAGCAGCUCCUGCAGGAAGAUGGAACCUUUUUCUCAGUAAUUGCAGACGAUGUCCCAAGGCUGGUUCUUAUGAGCCUGCUUGGGAAACGGCAGAUUUGGCUCCUCUCAUAUGAAGACAUAUGCUGCAUAGGCUGAAAUGGAAAGAAGAGGAUCCCCAAAAGAGAAUAACCAGGAUUCUGUGACCAGAGGAGAUGCUGGGUAGCAAGAACUGCUGGCCUCCCUCCCAUUCUGCUGAACCUCUGCUGAGAGGCCUCCUGGAUUCCCUGUGUGUUCCUGUCUGCCCCUCUGGGGAAAACUGAACUCCUUUUCUUGACUGAUAAGAAAAUUCACAUAACAUAAAAUUAUCCAUUAAAACAUACAGUGCAGUGGCAUUUAGUGCACUCACCAGGUUGUGUAACCACCACCUCUAUCUAAUGCCACAUUUUCAUCUCUCCUAAAAUAAGCCCCAUCCCCAUCAGCAGCCCCUCCCCAGCCCCUCCCAGCCACAAAUCCACUUCCUGUCUCUGUGGACUUGCCUGUUCUGGACAUUCCACACACAUGGAAUCACCCUGCGGCCUUGUUUACCUGGCUUCUCAGUGAGUAUCAUGUUUUCAGGGUUCAUUCACGUCAUAGCAAAUGUCAGUGCUUCACUCCUUUUUCAGCUCCAGUUGACAUUCAACAUUGUAUUAGUUUCACAUGUGCAGCAUAGUAGUUAGACAUUUAUAUGACUUACAAAAUGAUCCCCCCAUAAGUCUGGUACCCACCUGGCACCACACAUCGUUAUUACAGGUGCCUCACCCCUUUUCACAGCUAAAAUUCUAGGGCCUGGAUGGGCACACUGUGUUUGUCCAUUUCAUCUGUGGAUUGAUUCUUUUGAAAUUUCUACUUUAUUGACAUAUAUUUGACAUACACAAAUACAUAUAUUUAAAACACACAGGUUGGUAUUAGGACAUGUGCAUGUCUCUGAAUCCAUCACCACCACUGAUAUGAUGAAUGCCUCCCCCACCCCUUCCCAGCCAGCCAUCACUCAUCUGCUCUCCGCUGCUAUCAAUUAGUUUGCAUUUUCUAGACCUUUCCAGAAAGGGAAUCAUAUAGUUUGUUCUCUUUGGUAUCUGGCCUCUUCCACAGAGCGUAAGUAUUCUCAGAGUCAUCCAGUCGUUGUGUCUGUCAUCCUUCUGUUGCUGAGUUGUAUUCCUUGCUAUGUGUGGACCUGUGUGUUCACUCACCCGUUGAAAGACAUGCUGGUUGUUCCCAGGUUUUUCUAUUACAAAUGAAGCUGCAGUGGAUGGUCAUGUCCACA
This is a long non-coding RNA of Phyllostomus hastatus (greater spear-nosed bat), 1927 nucleotides long. RefSeq lists it as uncharacterized. NCBI's taxonomy places the organism in Eukaryota, Metazoa, Chordata, Mammalia, Chiroptera, Phyllostomidae. The record is from RefSeq and is a predicted model, not a curated record. The transcript is spliced from 2 exons.